UUGGAGGGCAAGUCUGGUGCCAGCAGCCGCGGUAAUUCCAGCUCCAAUAGCGUAUAUUAAAGUUGUUGCAGUUAAAAAGCUCGUAGUUGAAUUUCGGGAUUUGUCGGUUGGUCGGGCUUCACUGUCCGCACUGACCUGAUGGAUUCCUACCUUCUGAACAACCAGCAUGCUAUUAAGUUAGUGCGUUGGGGAAGCAGAGCUAUUACCUUGAAAAAAUUAGAGUGCUUAAAGCAAGCUUGUGCUUGAAUAGAUUAGCAUGGAAUAAUAAAAUAGGACGGCAUGGUUCUAUUUUGUUGGUUUCUAGGAUCACCGUAAUGAUUAAUAGGGAUAGUUGGGGGCAUUAGUAUUCAAUUGUCAGAGGUGAAAUUCUUGGAUUUAUUGAAGACUAACUUCUGCGAAAGCAUUUGCCAAGGAUGUUUUCAUUAAUCAAGAACGAAAGUUAGGGGAUCGAAGACGAUCAGAUACCGUCGUAGUCUUAACCAUAAACUAUGCCGACUAGGGAUCGGACGAUGUUAAUUUUUUAAUGACUCGUUCGGCGCCUUACGGGAAAC
This 551-nucleotide ribosomal RNA is filed under the name uncultured Glomeromycotina. Its description in RNAcentral is "SSU rRNA". It matches the Rfam family "Eukaryotic small subunit ribosomal RNA", at positions 548 to 1098 of the family's 1831-position model. RNAcentral also lists the same sequence under 1 other name. The record is from RNAcentral. Lineage: Eukaryota; Fungi; Glomeromycota.